This 997-nucleotide ribosomal RNA is filed under the name uncultured bacterium. RNAcentral's name for it is "bacterial SSU rRNA". It matches the Rfam family "Bacterial small subunit ribosomal RNA", at positions 28 to 1023 of the family's 1533-position model. The record is from RNAcentral.
AAUGAACGUUGGCGGCGUGGAUUAGGCAUGCAAGUCGAGCGAGAACCCGCAAGGGGGACAGCGGCGAACGGGGUAGGAUAACGUAGGUAACGUACCCUCGGGGCGAGGACAGCCACGGGAAACUGUGGGUAAUACUCGAUAAUCUUCCCAGUCUUGAUUGGCGGGGAAGCAAUGGGUGUGAUUCCACCUGAGGAGCGGCUUACGCAGUAUCAGCUUGUUGGUGAGGUAACGGCUCACCAAGGCUAUGACGCUUAGGGGAUGUGAGAGCAUGAUCCCCACCACUGGCACUGAGACACUGGCCAGACACCUACGGGUGGCUGCAGUCGAGAAUCUUCGGCAAUGGACGCAAGUCUGACCGAGCGACGCCGCGUGCGGGAUGAAGGCCUUCGGGUUGUAAACCGCUGUCAGAGGGGAUGAAGUGUACGGGAGUUAUCUCCUGUAUUUGACAGAGCCUCAGAGGAAGCACGGGCUAAGUUCGUGCCAGCAGCCGCGGUAAUACGAACUGUGCGAACGUUAUUCGGAAUCACUGGGCUUAGGGUGCGUAGGCGGCUGCCUAAGUCAGGUGUGAAAUCUCUCGGCUCAACCGGGAAACUGCGCUUGAUACUGGGCGGCUAGAGUGAGGUAGGGGUGUGUGGAACUUCCGGUGGAGCGGUGAAAUGUGUAGAUAUCGGAAGGAACGCCAGCAGCGAAAGCGGCACACUGGGCCUUUUCUGACGCUGAGGCACGAAAGCUAGGGGAGCGAACGGGAUUAGAUACCCCGGUAGUCCUAGCCGUAAACACUGAACACUCGAGGAGGGGGGCUUCGGCCUUCUUCCUCUUAGCGAAAGCGUUAAGUGUUCCGCCUGGGGAGUAUGGUCGCAAGGCUGAAACUCAAAGGAAUUGACGGGGGCUCACACAAGCGGUGGAGCAUGUGGCUUAAUUCGAGGCAACGCGAAGAACCUUAUCCUGGGCUUGACAUGCAUAGAUCAACCUCCUGAAAGGGAGGCCACACUCGCAA